This 442-nucleotide ribosomal RNA is filed under the name uncultured bacterium. RNAcentral's name for it is "partial 16S ribosomal RNA". It matches the Rfam family "Bacterial small subunit ribosomal RNA", at positions 338 to 795 of the family's 1533-position model. The record is from RNAcentral.
CCUACGGGAGGCUGCAGUGGGGAAUAUUGGGCAAUGGGCGCAAGCCUGACCCAGCAACGCCGCGUGAAGGAAGAAGGCUUUCGGGUUGUAAACUUCUUUUGUCAGGGAAGAGUAGAAGAAGGUACCUGACGAAUAAGCCACGGCUAACUACGUUCCAGCAGCCGAGGUAAUACGUAGGGGGCAAGCGUUGUCCGGAUUUACUGGGUGUAAAGGGCGUGUAGGCGGGUUGACAAGUCAGAUGUGAAAGCCUGGGGCUUAACCGCAGAACUGCAUUUGAAACUGUUGAUCUUGAGUACUGGAGAGGCAGACGGAAUUCCUAGUGUAGCGGUGAAAUGCGUAGAUAUUAGGAGGAACACCAGUGGCGAAGGCGGUCUGCUGGACAGAAACUGACGGUGAGGCGCGAAAGCGUGGGGAGCAAACAGGAUUAGAUACCCGUGUAGUC